Small nuclear RNA from Tachyglossus aculeatus (Australian echidna), 107 nucleotides. The record is from RefSeq and is a predicted model, not a curated record. NCBI's taxonomy places the organism in Eukaryota, Metazoa, Chordata, Mammalia, Monotremata, Tachyglossidae.
GUGUUCGUUUUGGCAGCACAUCUACUAAAAUGGGAACGAUACAGAGGAGAUUGAUAUGUCCCCUGCGCAAGGGUGACAUGCAAAUUCAUGAAGCAUUUCAUAUUUUU